Molecule: ribosomal RNA, 330 nt
Filed under: uncultured eukaryote
Lineage: Eukaryota
Description: partial 18S ribosomal RNA
Rfam family: Eukaryotic small subunit ribosomal RNA
Source: RNAcentral
CCCUUAGAUGUUCUGGGCCGCACGCGCGCUACACUGAUGCAUUCAACGAGUCUAAAACCUGGUCUGAUAGGGCUGGGUAAUCUUUUGAACGUGCAUCGUGAUUGGGAUAGAUGAUUGCAAUUCUUCAUCUUCAACGAGGAAUGCCUAGUAAACGCAAGUCAUCAGCUUGCAUUGAUUACGUCCCUGCCCUUUGUACACACCGCCCGUCGCUCCUACCGAUUGAAUGAUCCGAUGAAUACCAUGGAUUGAGAGUACGAAUGGGUUCGCUCAUUUCUGCUGCUCGAGAAGUGGAGUAAAUCUUAUCAUUUAGAGGAAGGAGAAGUCGUAACA